Zingiber officinale is the source of this 106-nucleotide small nucleolar RNA. The record is from RefSeq and is a predicted model, not a curated record. NCBI's taxonomy places the organism in Eukaryota, Viridiplantae, Streptophyta, Magnoliopsida, Zingiberales, Zingiberaceae.
AAGCCAUGGUGUGGGCAUAAUUUGAUCAUGUUUUUAAAUUUAUCCCAUUCUUCAUAGAGAGAUUCAGUGUCAGUUAGUCUGAGGCUGGCAAUUAAAUUCUGUAUAU